UCGCUAAAGGCUAUAGCGACAGACAACCGUCGCUAUAGGUGUUCUUCAUCUCAAGAACACUGUCAGAGACAGUUCAAGGGGGCUACUUUGACCAUGAAUAACGUUUUGGUCUUAAUGAAUCUGGAAAAUCUAUGAAUUGGGUCUUGUAGAGGAAAUACCAGACUACAAUUACCAACAAUCAUAACCUCUAAAAAAACAUCAGAUCUGGGAGAAAUCGUACCUCAAAGUAGCUGUCAGAGCUGUUCUUCGUGAAGAACAGUUCGUGAUGCCUACUUUGGACCUCUAUAACUUGAUGAUCGUGAAAUGUUUACGUGAUCUAUCAAUUCCAGUGUGUAGACAACAUGUAGGACUAAAACUCCAACACUUAAAAUCAUCAUAAAAACAAUAAAUCAAGCAUCUAAAGUAUGGUCAAACCUUGUAAGAAAAAUCAACACUUCAAAAAUUCUGGGCUGUCCAGAAUUUUCCGGUCAACCCAGUUUGACCUUAAAUAACUCUUAAUCCAUAAUAUAUAUGGACCUGAUUCGUUUUGGAGAUUAAAUACCACAUAACAAGCUACACAUAACAACCUUUAGAACACAAAACACAUUAAAGAUAACCGAGAUAUAAGGCCUGACAUUUUCUAAAAUAAUAUUUUCUAGACACUUAGAAUAUUUUCUGGGUUUGAAGAACAGCCGGUCAAUGUCGGUCAACCCACUUUGACCGCUUAUAAAUCCCGAUAUACAAUAGAUAUGAACUUGAUUCCUUUUGGAGAUUAAAGACCACAUAUCAGGAUACCUAUAACAACUUUUAAACAACAAAACUCGUCAUCGAACAAAGAGUUAUAGCCUCUGACAUUUGGUGAAAAAUAACAGAAUUCGGUUUUUCCAACUUGUUUAAAUCUUCAAAUUCGUGCACUUUGAUGUUAUGGGUUCAUGAUUUUACAACCCAGAAC
This 931-nucleotide long non-coding RNA is filed under the name Panax ginseng (ginseng). RNAcentral describes it as "long non-coding RNA (PGIN_LNC006780)". The record is from RNAcentral. Lineage: Eukaryota; Viridiplantae; Streptophyta; Magnoliopsida; Apiales; Araliaceae.